Molecule: ribosomal RNA, 451 nt
Filed under: uncultured bacterium
Lineage: Bacteria
Description: partial 16S ribosomal RNA
Rfam family: Bacterial small subunit ribosomal RNA
Source: RNAcentral
GAUGAACGCUGGCGGUGUGCCUAAUACAUGCAAGUCGAACGAGCUCUUCGGAGCUAGUGGCGGACGGGUGAGUAACACGUUGGUACCUGCCCUCAAGUGGGGAAUAACUGCCCGAAAGGGUGGCUAAUACCGCAUGUGAUCGAAAGAUUAAAGUCGCAAGACGCUUGAGGAGGGGCCUGCGUUCCAUUAGCUAGUUGGUAGGGUAAUGGCCUACAAAGGCGACGAUGGAUAGCUGGAUCGAGAGGUUGACCAGCCACACUGGGACUGAGAUACGGCCCAGACUCCUACGGGAGGCAGCAGUAAGGAAUCUUCCACAACGGACGAAAGUCUGAUGGAGCAACACCGCGUGCAGGAUGACGGCCUUCGGGUUGUAAACUGCUUUUAUAUGGGAAGAUUAUGACGGUACCAUAUGAAUAAGCACCGGCUAACUACGUGCCAGCCGCCGCAGUAA